Molecule: ribosomal RNA, 388 nt
Filed under: uncultured fungus
Lineage: Eukaryota; Fungi
Description: SSU rRNA
Rfam family: Eukaryotic small subunit ribosomal RNA
Source: RNAcentral
UCAUUCAAAUAUCUGCCCUAUCAACUUUCGAUGGUAGGAUUAGAGGCCUACCAUGGUGGUGACGGGUAACGGGGAAUAAGGGUUCGAUUCCGGAGAGGGAGCCUGGGAAACGGCUACCACAUCCACGGAAGGCAGCAGGCGCGCAAAUUACCCAAUCCCGACACGGGGAGGUAGUGACAAUAAAUAACAAUAUAGGGCCCUUUCGGGUCUUAUAAUUGGAAUGAGUACAAUUUAAAUCCGUUAACGAGGAACAAUUGGAGGGCAAGUCUGGUGCCAGCAGCCGCGGUAAUUCCAGCUCCAAUAGCGUAUUAAUUCAAAGUUGUUGCAGUUAAAAAGCUCGUAGUUGAACUUCAGACCUGGCCGGGCGGUCCGCCUAACGGUGUUGGUA